Molecule: ribosomal RNA, 467 nt
Filed under: uncultured bacterium
Lineage: Bacteria
Description: bacterial SSU rRNA
Rfam family: Bacterial small subunit ribosomal RNA
Source: RNAcentral
GAUGAACGCUGGCGGCGUGCCUAACACAUGCAAGUCGAACGGAGCUGCUUUGAUGAAGUUUUCGGAUGGAUUUAAAACAGCUUAGUGGCGGACGGGUGAGUAACGCGUGGGUAACCUGCCUCACACUGGGGGAUAACAGUUAGAAAUAGCUGCUAAUACCGCAUAAGCGCACGGUUCCGCAUGGAACAGUGUGAAAAACUCCGGUGGUGUGAGAUGGACCCGCGUCUGAUUAGCCAGUUGGCGGGGUAACGGCCCACCAAAGCGACGAUCAGUAGCCGGCCUGAGAGGGUGAACGGCCACAUUGGGACUGAGACACGGCCCAAACUCCUACGGGAGGCAGCAGUGGGGAAUAUUGCACAAUGGGGGAAACCCUGAUGCAGCGACGCCGCGUGAGUGAAGAAGUAUUUCGGUAUGUAAAGCUCUAUCAGCAGGGAAGAAAGUGACGGUACCUGAAUAAGAAGCCCCGG